Molecule: transfer RNA, 75 nt
Filed under: Caudoviricetes sp.
Lineage: Duplodnaviria; Heunggongvirae; Uroviricota; Caudoviricetes
Description: tRNA-Ile
Rfam family: tRNA
About the family: Transfer RNA (tRNA) molecules are approximately 80 nucleotides in length. Their secondary structure includes four short double-helical elements and three loops (D, anti-codon, and T loops). Further hydrogen bonds mediate the characteristic L-shaped molecular structure. tRNAs have two regions of fundamental functional importance: the anti-codon, which is responsible for specific mRNA codon recognition, and the 3' end, to which the tRNAs corresponding amino acid is attached (by aminoacyl-tRNA synthetases). tRNAs cope with the degeneracy of the genetic code in two manners: having more than one tRNA (with a specific anti-codon) for a particular amino acid; and 'wobble' base-pairing, i.e. permitting non-standard base-pairing at the 3rd anti-codon position.
Source: RNAcentral
UGUGGCAUAGUACAACGGCUAGUACGGUCGCCUGAUAAGCGAUUGAUGAUGGUUCGAUUCCAUCUGCUACAACCA